UACGGAGGAUGCGAGCGUUAUCCGGAUUUAUUGGGUUUAAAGGGUGCGUAGGCGGGAUGCCAAGUCAGCGGUAAAAAUGCGGUGCUCAACGCCGUCGAGCCGUUGAAACUGGCGGGCUGGAGUUGGAGAGAAGUACGCGGAAUGCGCGGUGUAGCGGUGAAAUGCUUAGAUAUCGCGCAGAACCCCGAUUGCGAAGGCAGCGUACCGGCUCCACACUGACGCUGAGGCACGAAAGCGUGGGUAUCGAACAGG
RNAcentral lists this ribosomal RNA (252 nucleotides) under uncultured Bacteroidales bacterium. Its description in RNAcentral is "partial 16S ribosomal RNA". It matches the Rfam family "Bacterial small subunit ribosomal RNA", at positions 524 to 776 of the family's 1533-position model. Lineage: Bacteria; Pseudomonadati; Bacteroidota; Bacteroidia; Bacteroidales. The record is from RNAcentral.